UGCGAGUCAUUGUAGCAAUACAAGGCAGACGGCUCAGUAACGCGUAGUCAAUCUACCCUAUGGACGGGAAUAACCUCGGGAAACUGAGAAUAAUGCCCGACAGAACAUUAUACCUGGAACGGUUUAUGUUUCAAAUGAUUUAUCGCCGUAGGAUGGGACUGCGGCCUAUCAGUUUGUUGGUGAGGUAAUGGCCCACCAAGACUAUUACAGGUACGGGCUCUGAGAGGAGUAGCCCGGAGAUGGGUACUGAGACACGGACCCAGGCCCUAUGGGGCGCAGCAGGCGAGAAAACUUUGCAAUGUGCGAAAGCACGACAAGGUUAAUCCGAGUGGUUUCUGCUAAAGAAACCUUUUGCUAGUCCUAGAAACACUAGUGAAUAAGGGGUGGGCAAGUUCUGGUGUCAGCCGCCGCGGUAAAACCAGCACCUCAAGUGGUCAGGAUGAUUAUUGGGCCUAAAGCAUCCGUAGCUCGUUUUGUAAGUUUUCGGUUAAAUCCAUACGCUUAACGUAUGGGCUGCCGGGAAUACUGCAUAACUAGGAAGUGKGAGAGGUAGACGGUACUCGGUAGGAAGGGGUAAAAUCCUUUGAUCUAUUGAUGACCACCUGUGGCGAAGGCGGUCUACCAGAACACGUUCGACGGUGAGGGAUGAAAGCUGGGGGAGCAAACCGGAUUAGAUACCCGGGUAGUCCCAGCUGUAAACUAUGCAAACUCAGUGAUGCAUUGGCUUGUGGCCAAUGCAGUGCUGCAGGGAAGCCGUUAAGUUUGCCGCCUGGGAAGUACGUACGCAAGUA
This 791-nucleotide ribosomal RNA is filed under the name uncultured archaeon. Its description in RNAcentral is "bacterial SSU rRNA". It matches the Rfam family "Archaeal small subunit ribosomal RNA", at positions 52 to 849 of the family's 1478-position model. The record is from RNAcentral.